This 320-nucleotide unclassified non-coding RNA is filed under the name Hevea brasiliensis (rubber tree). Lineage: Eukaryota; Viridiplantae; Streptophyta; Magnoliopsida; Malpighiales; Euphorbiaceae. The record is from RNAcentral.
UUCAACUUCUCCACGAAGACGGUCAGGAACUGCGGUGGCAUCUGGAUCAUCAGGUUCAAUUUCUGUUUUGCGGUCAAGCAGGUCGAAGACUGAGCGCAUGGCUCGACCGCCCUUGAUAAAGUCAGGAGCUAAGGUUAAUGUUUCAGCUGCGCCAUUGGCAGAAACCAUAAGGACCAUGAAAACUCGAAUUGUCUUUGAGAAAUCUGAAAUCCCAUGCUUCACCAGCCAAGAUGCAUACCAAAGACCAAGAGCAUAUGAAGCAUAGAGUGAAAAUUGGGCUAUUCCAAAUCCAGUUCCAGCUAUCUGUCCCUUCCAAAAGC